Molecule: non-coding RNA, 390 nt
Organism: Pelobates cultripes (western spadefoot toad)
Lineage: Eukaryota; Metazoa; Chordata; Amphibia; Anura; Pelobatidae
Source: the annotation of a GenBank genome assembly
GUGGAAGCGGCUGUGGAGGAGGAGGAGGUAGACAACACUGUUUUUUAUCUAUAUAUAUAUUUUUUUUAAUUGGGGUAUCCCCAAAAAUAUUGGGACAUAUAAAAAAAGACAACUCUGUUCCGCAGAGUAGCUGUUGACAUUAUAGUUGCGCAGGCACUUUGUUGAUUCUAGAGAACCUUGGGCCAAUCGCACAUCCCCGUGACGGCGACUUUGCAUUCGUAUGUCAAUCCAUAUCAACUUUCGAUGCCAUUGACUGUGCCUACCAUGGUGACCACGGGUAAUGGGGAAUCAGGGUUCCAUUCCAUACAGGGACCCUGACAACUGGCUACCACAUGCAAGGAAGGCAGCAGGCGCGCAAAUGACCCACUCCCGACGCGGGAAGGUAGUAAC